GUGAGAAGAAAGAGUUUCGAUUGACUUUGGCGAAGAUUGUACAAGUAAUCGAAAGUGAGAUCAAAUCCAUCGAUCCAUUCACGGGAUCACUCCCGGGUCAGUGAAAAAGGAACUCCUCUCUUUUCUCUUUUUCUCUUUUUCUAGUCACUCGAGUGGCAAGUUGCUAUGGCCAGUGCUCUUGGUGUCAGGGUUGGAGACGUCGCUGGUCGAGAUUUGGAGUUCUCCUUCAUCCUCGAUCUCGAUUCUUUCGUUCUGCAGCGAUCGAUCCAGCUAAAGAUCAAACGAUACGAUAGGAGAGAAAAACCAAAAGAGUGUACCUGCGAUUCUUUGAGUGACGAGAAUAAUGUGAUCGCUGUCGCAGCUGCUAUUCCAAAGACUGGCGCGAUGGCUUUGGCCAUGUCCAUGUCUGCUUGUUUCUGUUCAAGCGGUGACCUUAUCAUCCUGGAUUUUGAGUAUCGAUCGAUAACUUAACGGGAAGAAGAUACCUUUCUCGACUGACUGGAAAUGCCCAAAACACGAGCUCGAUCGAUCGAUGAGCGACGAGACUUAUGAUUCGACUCCACAAGAGUCCCCUUAUUUGCUUGCAGGAGAGAGAAACAAUGAAAUCCAGCACGUACAAGAG
Molecule: long non-coding RNA, 622 nt
Filed under: Selaginella moellendorffii
Lineage: Eukaryota; Viridiplantae; Streptophyta; Lycopodiopsida; Selaginellales; Selaginellaceae
Description: long non-coding RNA (SMOE_LNC001761)
Source: RNAcentral